UAGGGAAUCUUCGGCAAUGGGGGCAACCCUGACCGAGCAACGCCGCGUGAGUGAAGAAGGUUUUCGGAUCGUAAAGCUCUGUUGUAAGAGAAGAACGUGUGUGAGAGUGGAAAGUUCACAAAGUGACGGUAACUUACCAGAAAGGGACGGCUAACUACGUGCCAGCAGCCGCGGUAAUACGUAGGUCCCGAGCGUUGUCCGGAUUUAUUGGGCGUAAAGCGAGCGCAGGCGGUUUAAUAAGUCUGAAGUUAAAGGCAGUGGCUUAACCAUUGUUCGCUUUGGAAACUGUUAAACUUGAGUGCAGAAGGGGAGAGUGGAAUUCCAUGUGUAGCGGUGAAAUGCGUAGAUAUAUGGAGGAACACCGGUGGCGAAAGCGGCUCUCUGGUCUGUAACUGACGCUGAGGCUCGAAAGCGUGGGGAGCAAACAGG
RNAcentral lists this ribosomal RNA (429 nucleotides) under bacterium. Its description in RNAcentral is "partial 16S ribosomal RNA". It matches the Rfam family "Bacterial small subunit ribosomal RNA", at positions 355 to 776 of the family's 1533-position model. The record is from RNAcentral.